Molecule: unclassified non-coding RNA, 379 nt
Filed under: soil metagenome
Description: partial contains 5.8S ribosomal RNA, internal transcribed spacer 2, and large subunit ribosomal RNA
Rfam family: 5.8S ribosomal RNA (bases 1-120)
Source: RNAcentral
GAUGAAUAACGCAGCGAAAUGCGAUAAGUAAUGUGAAUUGCAGAAUUCAGUGAAUCAUCGAAUCUUUGAACGCACCUUGCACCCUUUGGCAUUCCGAAGGGUAUGCUCGUUUGAGUGUCAUUGUACUCUCACACUUCCAAUCUUUGGAUUGGGAGCGGUGGACUUGGGUGUUGCUGCUUACUGUGGCUCACCUCAAAUCGAUUCGUGCACCUCUUGGUUGGACAUAGUACGGCGUGAUAAGUGUCUUCGCCGGCACCUCAGUAGAGGGUGGCUGAUCAGGAGCUCUGUGCUUCAAACCGUCCUCGGACAACAACUGACAACUUGACCUCAAAUCGAGUAGGACUACCCGCUGAACUUAAGCAUAUCAAUAAGCGGAGGA